Molecule: ribosomal RNA, 900 nt
Filed under: Sordariomycetes sp.
Lineage: Eukaryota; Fungi; Ascomycota; Sordariomycetes
Description: eukaryotic LSU rRNA
Rfam family: Eukaryotic large subunit ribosomal RNA (bases 334-900)
Source: RNAcentral
GUUAAAACUUUCGAUAAUAGAUCUCUUGGUUCUGGCAUCGAUGAAGAACGCAGCGAAAUGCGAUAAGUAAUGUGAAUUGCAGAAUUCAGUGAAUCAUCGAAUCUUUGAACGCACAUUGCGCCCAUUAGUAUUCUAGUGGGCAUGCCUGUUCGAGCGUCAUUUCAACCCUCAAGCCCCAGUUGCUUGGUGUUGGGAGCCUGCACCCCCCCGGGGGCUGCAGCUCCUCAAAGCUAUUGGCGGAGUCGUAUUGGCCCUAAGCGUAGUAAUUUUUUCCUCGCUUCUAGUGGUUCCAGUGCUGGCGUCCAGCCGUAAAACCCCUAAUUUUAUAGUGGUUGACCUCGGAUCAGGUAGGAAUACCCGCUGAACUUAAGCAUAUCAAUAAGCGGAGGAAAAGAAACCAACAGGGAUUGCCCUAGUAACGGCGAGUGAAGCGGCAACAGCUCAAAUUUGAAAUCUGGCUUUCGGGUCCGAGUUGUAAUUUGUAGAGGAUGCUUUUGGUGCAGUGCCUUCCGAGUUCCUUGGAACAGGACGCCUUAGAGGGUGAGAGCCCCGUACGGUUGGACACUAAGCCUCUGUAAAGCUCCUUCGACGAGUCGAGUAGUUUGGGAAUGCUGCUCUAAAUGGGAGGUAAAUUUCUUCUAAAGCUAAAUACCGGCCAGAGACCGAUAGCGCACAAGUAGAGUGAUCGAAAGAUGAAAAGUACUUUGAAAAGAGGGUUAAAUAGCACGUGAAAUUGUUGAAAGGGAAGCGUUUAUGACCAGACCUUUGUCUAGCGGAUCAUCCGGUGUUCUUCACCGGUGCACUUCGCUAGGCUCAGGCCAGCAUCGGUUUCUGCAGCGGGAUAAAGACCGUGGGAACGUAGCUCUCUCCGGGGAGUGUUAUAGCCCUAGGUGUAAUACC